Molecule: long non-coding RNA, 1345 nt
Organism: Monodelphis domestica (gray short-tailed opossum)
Lineage: Eukaryota; Metazoa; Chordata; Mammalia; Didelphimorphia; Didelphidae
Source: RefSeq, a predicted model, not a curated record
CAGACUUAGCCAUGGAACACGACUAUGGAGGAGCAGGAGCGUGAGAUGUGAGACAGCUUCCCUUAUAUGAUCAUGUGCCUGGUUCAUCCAUGAAGGUUAUGACAAGCACCCUCAAAUUUCCCUGAAUUUUCUUUCCUCUUUAUUACCUCCUCAAGUCAGUCUUUUAAACAUCUAACUCGUCAAUUUAAAACACAGCUGCUAGAUCAGAUUACAGGCUCUCUUCCCCCUUCCCUCUCCAAGAAGGCAGUUGUGUUCCGUUACAAUCCUAUAUCACAGUUUGUACAGUCACCCCCAUCAAUGGGCAUCCCUGCAAUUUCCUGGUUUGUCAUCAUAAAAAGAACUUGAAUGGAGAGUCUGGUGUAGAGAAGAAAUUCAGGAAGGGUCAGAAAAAGGAACAACUUCACUCCGAUUUUAGUUGGAAAACUCCCUCCGCCCCAUAUUUCCAUGGCUUCCUGAGGGACACUGCAACAUGGAUCACCUUCUGGACCAUAUUUUUACAAAUGAGGCUAGUUUUGCAGUCAGACAGCCUCAGAAAGGGAGAGAAGAACUAUGAGGAGAGUAAAAUAAUGAUAUUUUGGUCAUAAGCUUAUUUCAAAUUUACUAAUGAUGUUGCUUACCCUCUCAUGUAAAGAUUUUACUUAAAAAGGAUGAAAGCUUUCAAGAUAACUGUAACAAAUGCCUCGCUGUGGAUUUUUAAAAGUGUUUUGGUAUUGCUAUACUAUGGUAUUCAAGCGUUGAUACCCUAGGGGAUAAUGCUGCUGAAUUAUGUGUUUGUUGUUCAUUUACCAACGUAAAUUUGUAUAAGUAAAAUGGAGAAAAAUGAUUGCCCUGACAUAAUAAUAGUGAGUCCAUAAAUAAUGCAGCAGAAGGGGAGAAAUCAGAGAUUUCCAUCUGAAUGACAGAAGACCUUCCUCCGAGUGAGUUUCUUAAUUGAGGGUCGACCAAACUUUAAGCCAGCAUUCAUAAUUAAUUGGCAUGCAGAAUUUGAAAGCUCAUAAACUCCAGAUGCAAAACCCAUAGUGGAGGGGUGGAAUGUAUCGAAAGCUUAGUGGGAAUAAGAGACGAUUUCCAACAUUCGUUGUCCUUUUAUCAAAGCCUCUAUUGGAAAUGAGCUUUGGUUUGGGGAUGGAUUUUCCCACUGCAAAACACUGAAACCACCUUUUGGCCACAAGGGUAUGGCCUGACCCAACGGGUGGAAUUCACAAGAGCCAUAUGUUGCUUCAAUAUGAGGAACGUUUUCCUAACGAGCUCUUGUAUUGGGGGAUUAAACACAGGGAACUUCUGGCACAGAAACUCCUUCCAUAGGUACAGAUUAGGAAGGAAACCCCAACCCACCCUCCGAGAC